Molecule: ribosomal RNA, 512 nt
Filed under: uncultured bacterium
Lineage: Bacteria
Description: bacterial SSU rRNA
Rfam family: Bacterial small subunit ribosomal RNA
Source: RNAcentral
AGCACUGUAGAGAGUUUGAUCMUGGCUCAGGAUGAACGCUGGCGGCGUGCUUAACACAUGCAAGUCGAACGAUGAUGCCCACUUGUGGGUGGAUUAGUGGCGAACGGGUGAGUAACACGUGAGUAACCUGCCCUURACUCUGGGAUAAGCCUGGGAAACUGGGUCUAAUACCGGAUAUGACCUUCCAUCGCAUGGUGGUUGGUGGAAAGCUUUUGUGGUUUUGGAUGGACUCGCGGCCUAUCAGCUUGUUGGUGGGGUAAUGGCCUACCAAGGCGACGACGGGUAGCCGGCCUGAGAGGGUGACCGGCCACACUGGGACUGAGACACGGCCCAGACUCCUACGGGAGGCAGCAGUGGGGAAUAUUGCACAAUGGGCGCAAGCCUGAUGCAGCGACGCCGCGUGAGGGAUGAMGGCCUUCGGGUUGUAAACCUCUUUCAGUAGGGAAGAAGCGAAAGUGACGGUACCUGCAGAAGAAGCGCCGGCUAACUACGUGCCAGCAGCCGCGGUAAUA